Homo sapiens (human) is the source of this 803-nucleotide long non-coding RNA. The record is from Ensembl. NCBI's taxonomy places the organism in Eukaryota, Metazoa, Chordata, Mammalia, Primates, Hominidae.
ACUUCCGGUGGGCUUCACAUGCUGUGGGGUGUCACUGUUAAGGUGAGAUGAGAGAAUUGAGGUUUGGAGUUGUUAAGCAGCUUGCCCAAAGUCACCUUGCAGGGCAUUCAAGUGUGCACUCCCAGGAGCUUGCUCGGCAAAGGAAGGCCUGAGAAACUAACAAAUAAUAACCUCAGCCUCAAGACCGCGGACUGUCUGGCACAGGAAGUUAUUCAUUCCGCCAGAUACAACGAGCUAGUGUCCCCCUCAAAGGCGCCCUUUGCCAGUCUGAACAGAAAGCCAUGGCUUGGGAACAACUGAUCUUCCUCACCGAGGGUUCUGCUGUGGUGAUGACAGCCACCAGACAAACCUUGUAAUCAGCUGAGUCUUCUUAGUUACACUAAAUGAAAAAGCAACAUAAGGCCUUAAAUCAGUUUUACAGUGUGACUCUGGAUAUUAAGAGUGGCACUGUGGAGUCACAAUAUAACUGUUGCUUAUUAGUUUUAACCAAGACGAACAUAAUGAAUUUUUCCACGCACAAUACUGUGGCACUACCACUAAAACAAAAUACUGGAAAAUUAUCAAGUUCUAUGGUGAAUUCACAGUGUCAACAGCUAAAUUAAUAAUUGGACUAAAAAACAUACUUUUCAGUUAAUCACCCAAUAUGUACCUACUGAGAGCUUUCUAUGUGCCCGGACUAUGCCCUGCAAACAGGCAUAGGCCCUGUCUGUAAGAAGAAAUUUAGCUAAGGACACAAAACCAACAUGCAUGUAACAGGGAGUGAAAAAUUAUGUGCAAGACUCAGUAAUUCAGCCUAACAAACA